AGUGAACGCUGGCGGUAGGCCUAACACAUGCAAGUCGAACGGCAGCACAGUAAGAGCUUGCUCUUACGGGUGGCGAGUGGCGGACUGGUGAGGAAUACAUCGGAAUCUACUUUUUCGUGGGGGAUAACGUAGGGAAACUUACGCUAAUACCGCAUACGACCUACGGGUGAAAGCAGGGGAUCUUCGGACCUUGCGCGAUUGAAUGAGCCGAUGUCGGAUUAGCUAGUUGGCGGGGUAAAGGCCCACCAAGGCGACGAUCCGUAGCUGGUCUGAGAGGAUGGUCAGCCACACUGGAACUGAGACACGGUCCAGACUCCUACGGGAGGCAGCAGUGGGGAAUAUUGGACAAUGGGCGCAAGCCUGAUCCAGCCAUACCGCGUGGGUGAAGAAGGCCUUCGGGUUGUAAAGCCCUUUUGUUGGGAAAGAAAAGCAGCAGGUUAAUACCCCGCUGUUCUGACGGUACCCAAAGAAUAAGCACCGGCUAACUUCGUG
RNAcentral lists this ribosomal RNA (492 nucleotides) under uncultured bacterium. Its description in RNAcentral is "partial 16S ribosomal RNA". It matches the Rfam family "Bacterial small subunit ribosomal RNA", at positions 29 to 507 of the family's 1533-position model. The record is from RNAcentral.